GGUGAAUUUGAUGGUUUCGCAAUUGAUCAAUGUAAAAUGGCAGAUUUCGUACAAAAUUUUACUCUGACAAAUAAACAACUUUGCGCUGGCGGUCGUCCAGGGAGGGAUUCAUGUCGAGGUGAUUCGGGUGGCACAGCAUCAUGAGGCAGAAAAUACCUAUUAUUACGUGGCCGGUGUUUUUUUCAUUCGGUUCAUCAACGUGCCAUGAACCCGGAUGGAAAGGAGUAUACACUGUACGUUCAACGGUCGUUUAAUUUAAACAGUAUUUUGUGGGUUAUCAUCAGUUAAUUUUUGUUCACACAGAGAGUUGACCAGUAUAUCGAUUGGAUCGUUCCGCCUUGGCCUUUAACAGUCUCAUUUUUAACUUUGCGUAAAAUUACAAAAUACAUGAAAUGAAUGUUAAUAAAUAGAUGUAUUGUAAAUAAAAAAACAAA
Long non-coding RNA from Contarinia nasturtii (swede midge), 434 nucleotides. RefSeq lists it as uncharacterized. The transcript is spliced from 2 exons. Lineage: Eukaryota; Metazoa; Arthropoda; Insecta; Diptera; Cecidomyiidae. The record is from RefSeq and is a predicted model, not a curated record.